GAUGAACGCUGGCGGCGUGCUUAACACAUGCAAGUCGAACGGACAGGUCCUGCUUUUGUGGGGUGCUCGAGUUGCGAACGGGUGAGUAACACGUGAGUAACCUGCCCCUGCCUGUGGGAUAGCUUCAGGACAGUGGGGCUAAUACGGGAUAGGAGCUUCUGCUGCAUGUUGGGUGUUGGAAAGUUUCGUCGGUUGGGGAUGGACUCGCGGCUUAUCAGCGUGUCGGUGGGUGGGUGGCUUACCAGGGCUGUGACGGGUAGCCGGCCUGAGAGGGUGACCGGCCACAUUGGGACUGAGAGACGGCCCAGAGUCCUACGGGAGGCAGCAGUGGGGAAAAUUGCACAAUGGGCGGAAGCCUGAUGCAGAAACGCCGCGUGCGGGAUGACGGCCUUCGGGGUGUAAACCGCUUUCGCCUGUGACGAAGCGUGAGUGACGGUAAUGGGUAAAGAAGCACCGGCUAACUACGUG
RNAcentral lists this ribosomal RNA (468 nucleotides) under uncultured bacterium. RNAcentral's name for it is "partial 16S ribosomal RNA". It matches the Rfam family "Bacterial small subunit ribosomal RNA", at positions 28 to 507 of the family's 1533-position model. The record is from RNAcentral.